Molecule: ribosomal RNA, 253 nt
Filed under: uncultured bacterium
Lineage: Bacteria
Description: partial 16S ribosomal RNA
Rfam family: Bacterial small subunit ribosomal RNA
Source: RNAcentral
UACGGGGGGAGCAAGCGUUGUUCGGAUUUACUGGGCGUAAAGGGCGCGUAGGCGGCGUGACAAGUCACUUGUGAAAUCUCCGGGCUUAACCCGGAGCGGCCAAGUGAUACUGUCGUGCUAGAGUGCGGAAGGGGCUACUGGAAUUCUCGGUGUAGCGGUGAAAUGCGUAGAUAUCAGGAGGAACACCAAUGGCGAAGGCAGCUCGCUGGGACGUGACUGACGCUGAGACGCGAAAGCGUGGGGAGCAAACAGG